GACAGAGGGUGCAAACGUUGUUCGGAUUUACUGGGCGUAAAGGGCGCGUAGGCGGCGUGACAAGUCACUUGUGAAAUCUCCGGGCUUAACUCGGAACGGUCAAGUGAUACUGUCGUGCUAGAGUACAGAAGGGGCAACUGGAAUUCUCGGUGUAGCGGUGAAAUGCGUAGAUAUCGAGAGGAACACCCUGCGGCGAAGGCGGGUUGCUGGGCUGAUACUGACGCUGAGGCGCGAAAGCUAGGGGAGCGAACGGG
Molecule: ribosomal RNA, 254 nt
Filed under: uncultured bacterium
Lineage: Bacteria
Description: partial 16S ribosomal RNA
Rfam family: Bacterial small subunit ribosomal RNA
Source: RNAcentral